GAUGAACGCUGGCUACAGGCUUAACACAUGCAAGUCGAGGGGAAACGACGGGGAAGCUUGCUUCCCCGGGCGUCGACCGGCGCACGGGUGAGUAACGCGUAUCCAACCUGCCUCUGACUGAGGGAUAACCCGUCGAAAGUCGGCCUAAUACCUCAUGGUAUCGUCUGCGGGCAUCCAACGACGAUUAAAGAUUUCAUCGGUCAGGGACGGGGAUGCGUCUGAUUAGCUUGUUGGCGGGGUAACGGCCCACCAAGGCUACGAUCAGUAGGGGUUCUGAGAGGAAGGUCCCCCACAUUGGAACUGAGACACGGUCCAAACUCCUACGGGAGGCAGCAGUGAGGAAUAUUGGUCAAGGGGCGAGAGCCUGAACCAGCCAAGUAGCGUGCAGGAAGACGGCCGUAUGGGUUGUAAACUGCUUGUAUGCGGGGAUAAAGUGAGGGACGUGUCCCUCAUUGCAGGUACCGCAUGAAUAAGGACCGGCUAAUUCCGUG
RNAcentral lists this ribosomal RNA (491 nucleotides) under uncultured bacterium. Its description in RNAcentral is "partial 16S ribosomal RNA". It matches the Rfam family "Bacterial small subunit ribosomal RNA", at positions 28 to 507 of the family's 1533-position model. The record is from RNAcentral.